Molecule: non-coding RNA, 448 nt
Organism: Schizosaccharomyces pombe (fission yeast)
Lineage: Eukaryota; Fungi; Ascomycota; Schizosaccharomycetes; Schizosaccharomycetales; Schizosaccharomycetaceae
Source: the annotation of a GenBank genome assembly
UUAACUAAAUUUGGUAAUUGUUUUAUUGCGCGAUAAAAUGGAAAUGUUAUUAUCAUGAAGGCUCAUGAAAAGGACUCCUAAAUGUCGUUUGGUAAGUUGUAAUUAAAUACAACGAAAUACCAAAUAUUUUGUGAAAGCAACCUCACAUUUAAACCUCUUUUAAUAUAAAAGUCAUGAAAAGUUCUCUGGCGGUUAUUUCAUUUCAUUCCUAAGUGUAUUUGAACAUUCCGAUAUGCUGCUUAUUCGUCAUUUAUUUAAUUGAAUAAUUGUUAACUAGCGAAUGGGAAAAUACUUUGCAUUUUACAAAAAAUUUGGGUGAUAUUUGAAAGAAUGAAACGUCAAAUCUAGAAACUGUGAAUGUCCAUUUUUUGUAAAUUUUUAUUAUUAAAUCACUGCUCGGAAAAGCAGAGUUCAUGAAUGGUGUAUACACACAGCAGUAAGUCCUGUA